This 62-nucleotide small RNA is filed under the name Caulobacter vibrioides NA1000. RNAcentral's name for it is "small non-coding RNA". The record is from RNAcentral. Lineage: Bacteria; Pseudomonadati; Pseudomonadota; Alphaproteobacteria; Caulobacterales; Caulobacteraceae.
GUCUACCCACAAGACUUCCCAUUAGCCCCGCCGGAGACCGCGUCACCGGCGGGGCUUAUUGU